GAGAGGAGGCGGGCAGGCUGGUGGGCUGGGCGGGCGGCGAGCGGCCGGGAGCGCGCGGUGGACUCGGCCGCGGCGAGUAGUUAGUUAGUUGUUGUUAGUCAGUGUCAGUUGCUCGGCGGCGGCGGCCGUGGUCAUCAGGAAGGGGACGGGACGGACGGCGAUGGUGGUCGCCGCGGCGGCGUGUGCGCCCCUCAGGUAUCUGCCCAAACUGGAACUUAUGCUGUAGACAUUUCUUUGUGGUUUAUCUAAAAACCAAAGUUGAAUUCUUUUAGAAGAAAGGAAAAACCUCUUGAGAUGUGACUGUUUCCAUCUAUCUUCUGCCUGCCAGGAAAAGAAUACUUGAGAUCCAUUUGUAAGGAAAGAAAAGGAAGCAACAACAUAAUGCCCAGAGUUGGAGCCAAUUAAACCAGUAAACAUGGCUAUCUUCAGAAACUAAGGAAUGAGAGGCAAGGAAGAAAGGACAUUCAUCUUGGAAAGACCCAAAGCACCUUGAAAUUUGGAAGGAAUGCUAUGCUAGCUGCUAAAACCACCUUUGUCACCACAAUGAAUGAAGUGCUUCAGAUUUAAACAAUUGAUCAUUCUUAGAAGAGCUGCUGUAACACAUAGGGGAAGUGAAAACUAACAGAUGAAAGUUUUGUCAUGCACUGAAAGAAAAGCAUUGUCUGUGAAGUUCUAUUUUUAAAAAUGUCUGCUUGUAACACCUUUACUGAACAUGUUUGGAAACCUGGUGAAUGCAAGAAUUGCUUUAAACCUAAAAGUUUGCACCAGCUUCCCCCAGACCCUGAGAAGGCACCCAUCACCCAUGGCAAUGUGAAAACUAAUGCCAAUCACAGUAACAACCACCGCAUCAGGAACACCGGCAAUUUCCGGCCUCCUGUGGCUAAAAAACCCACUAUAGCUGUGAAGCCCACUAUGAUAGUGGCAGAUGGGCAAAGUAUAUGUGGUGAGCUUAGCAUCCAAGAACACUGUGAGAACAAACCUGUCAUCAUAGGGUGGAACCGAAACAGAGCUGCCUUGAGUCAGAAACCACUUAACAAUAAUAAUGAAGACGAUGAAGGAAUUAGCCAUGUUCCUAAGCCUUAUGGCAAUAAUGAUAGUGCAAAGAAGAUGUCAAAUAACAAUAAUGGACUAACUGAAGUGUUAAAGGAGAUAGCAGGCUUGGAUACUGCCCCUCAGAUAAGAGGAAAUGAAACAAACUCCAGAGAAACAUUCUUGGGAAGAAUAAAUGAUUGCUAUAAACGAUCAUUGGAAAGAAAGCUUCCACCAAGUUGCAUGAUAGGUGGGAUAAAGGAAACUCAGGGCAAGCAUGUUAUUCUGAGUGGGAGCACAGAAGUGAUUAGUAACGAAGGGGGCCGGUUCUGUUACCCAGAGUUUUCCAGUGGCGAGGAGAGUGAAGAGGAUGUACUUUUCAGUAACAUGGAGGAGGAGCACGAGAGUUGGGAUGAGAGUGAUGAAGAGCUGUUGGCCAUGGAGAUUCGCAUGAGAGGGCAACCUCGCUUUGCCAACUUCAGAGCAAACACUUUGUCUCCUGUUCGAUUCUUUGUGGACAAAAAAUGGAAUACUAUCCCCCUGCGAAACAAGUCUCUGCAGAGAAUCUGUGCUGUGGACUAUGAUGACAGCUAUGAUGAAAUCCUGAAUGGUUAUGAGGAAAAUUCUGUGGUCUCUUAUGGACAAGGAAGCAUUCAGAGCAUGGUGUCAUCUGACUCCACAUCACCAGAUUCUUCUUUAACAGAAGAAUCACGUUCUGAGACAGCCAGUAGUUUAUCCCAGAAGAUUUGUAAUGGGGGAAUAUCUCCUGGUAACCCAGGAGAUUCUAACGACAUGAAGGAAAUUGAGCCCAAUUAUGAAAGUCCCUCUAGUAAUAAUCAGGAUAAAGAUUCAUCACAAGCUUCCAAAAGCUCAGUAAAAGUUCCAGAGACCCACAAAGCAGUCCUUGCUCUCCGAUUAGAAGAGAAAGAUGGCAAGAUUGCUGUACAAACUGAGAAGGAAGAAAGUAAAGCCUCUACAGAUGUUGCUGGGCAAGCAGUAACCAUAAACCUUGUCCCCACAGAAGAGCAAGCAAAACCUUACCGAGUUGUGAAUCUGGAACAGCCAUUGUGCAAGCCAUAUACUAUCGUGGAUGUGUCAGCAGCCAUGGCCAGUGAGCACCUCGAGGGCCCUGUUAACAGCCCCAAGACAAAAAGCUCAUCUUCUACUCCAAACUCUCCAGUUACAUCAUCUUCAUUGACACCAGGACAAAUAAGUGCCCAUUUCCAAAAAUCCAGUGCAAUUCGAUACCAAGAAGUAUGGACUUCUAGCACCAGUCCACGACAAAAGAUACCUAAAGUAGAACUAAUUACUAGUGGAACUGGACCAAAUGUUCCUCCAAGGAAAAACUGUCACAAAUCAGCACCUACAUCACCCACAGCUACAAACAUUUCCUCCAAAACCAUCCCUGUUAAGUCACCUAAUUUGUCUGAAAUAAAAUUUAAUAGUUAUAACAAUGCUGGUAUGCCACCUUUUCCAAUUAUCAUUCAUGACGAGCCAACUUAUGCUCGGAGUUCCAAAAAUGCUAUCAAAGUUCCCAUUGUUAUCAAUCCAAAUGCAUAUGACAAUCUAGCUAUCUACAAAAGUUUUCUGGGAACAAGUGGAGAACUCCCAGUGAAGGAAAAAACCACAAGUGUAAUAAGCCAUACUUAUGAAGAAAUAGAAACUGAAAGCAAAGUGCCUGAUAACACCACUAGCAAAACCACUGACUGUCUUCAAACUAAAGGGUUUUCAAACAGCACAGAGCAUAAAAGGGGCUCAGUGGCUCAGAAGGUUCAAGAGUUUAACAACUGUCUCAACAGAGGUCAGUCUUCACCACAGAGAAGCUAUAGUUCCAGCCACAGCUCCCCAGCAAAGAUCCAGAGAACCACUCAAGAGCCUAUGGCCAAAAUAGAAGGCACUCAGGAGUCUCAGAUGGUGGGCAGCAGCAGCACCAGAGAGAAAGCAAGCACAGUGCUUUCUCAGAUUGUGGCUUCAAUCCAACCCCCACAGUCUCCUCCAGAAACACCUCAAUCUGGCCCUAAAACUUGCAGUGUGGAAGAACUUUAUGCCAUUCCUCCAGAUGCUGAUGUUGCUAAGUGUACACCUAAGAGUACGCCAGUCCGGCCCAAAUCUCUCUUUACAUCUCAGCCUAGUGGUGAGGCUGAAGCACCUCAGACCACAGACAGUCCUACCACCAAAGUACAGAAAGACCCAUCCAUAAAGCCAGUCACCCCCUCUCCCUCCAAAUUAGUGACUAGCCCCCAGAGUGAGCCACCACCUCCCUUUCCCCCGCCACGCUCUACUUCUUCUCCUUACCAUGCAGGUAACCUUUUGCAGAGGCAUUUCACCAACUGGACCAAGCCAACCAGCCCUACCAGGUCAACAGAAGCUGAAUCAGUUUUGCACUCUGAAGGCAGCAGGCGGGCAGCUGAUGCAAAACCUAAGCGCUGGAUAUCAUUUAAAAGCUUCUUCCGCCGUCGGAAAACAGAUGAGGAGGAUGACAAAGAGAAAGAGCGAGAGAAAGGGAAACUGGUGGGCCUGGAUGGCACAGUCAUUCACAUGCUGCCUCCUCCUCCAGUUCAGCGCCAUCACUGGUUCACAGAGGCAAAAGGAGAGUCCAGUGAGAAACCAGCCAUUGUCUUCAUGUAUAGGUGCGACCCUGCUCAAGGCCAGCUCAGUGUGGAUCAGAGCAAGGCUAGGACAGACCAGGCAGCAGUCAUGGAGAAGGGUAGAGCAGAGAAUGCAUUACUACAGGACUCAGAGAAGAAGAAGAGGAGUCAUUCUUCUCCAUCACAGAUUCCUAAAAAUAUUCUCAGUCACAUGACCCAUGAAGUAACAGAGGAUUUUUCUCCUCGGGAUCCAAGAACUGUUGUUGGGAAGCAAGAUGGCGGGGGCUGCACUUCAGUCACAACAGCAUUGUCCCUACCUGAACUGGAAAGGGAAGAUGGAAAAGAAGACAUUUCAGAUCCUAUGGACCCGAACCCUUGUAGUGCAACAUACAGCAACUUAGGGCAAUCUAGAGCAGCCAUGAUACCUCCCAAGCAGCCACGACAGCCCAAGGGAGCUGUGGACGAUGCCAUCGCCUUUGGAGGGAAAACAGACCAAGAAGCACCCAAUGCUUCCCAGCCUACACCACCCCCACUGCCAAAGAAGAUGAUCAUAAGAGCCAAUACAGAGCCAAUCUCCAAGGACCUCCAAAAAUCCAUGGAAAGUAGUCUCUGUGUCAUGGCUAAUCCCACCUAUGAUAUCGACCCCAACUGGGAUGCCAGCAGUGCUGGUUCUUCCAUCAGCUAUGAACUCAAAGGACUGGACAUUGAGUCUUACGACUCCUUGGAAAGGCCUUUGCGCAAGGAGAGACCUGUCCCCUCAGCAGCAAACAGCAUUUCCAGCUUAACCACUCUCAGUAUUAAGGAUAGAUUUUCCAACAGCAUGGAAUCCCUCUCCAGCCGGCGUGGGCCCUCUUGCAGACAGGGCCGAGGCAUCCAGAAGCCGCAGAGACAAGCACUUUAUCGAGGACUUGAGAAUCGGGAGGAAGUAGUGGGUAAAAUCCGAAGCCUUCAUACAGAUGCCUUGAAGAAACUGGCUGUUAAAUGCGAAGACCUUUUCAUGGCUGGGCAGAAAGACCAGCUCCGUUUUGGAGUGGACAGCUGGUCAGACUUCAGGCUAACCAGUGACAAACCAUGUUGUGAGGCAGGUGAUGCUGUUUACUAUACUGCUUCAUAUGCAAAAGAUCCACUUAAUAACUAUGCAGUCAAGAUCUGUAAGAGCAAAGCUAAAGAAUCUCAGCAGUAUUAUCACAGCUUGGCUGUCCGGCAGAGUCUGGCUGUCCAUUUUAACAUUCAGCAGGACUGUGGUCAUUUCCUUGCUGAAGUCCCUAACCGUCUGCUUCCCUGGGAGGAUCCAGAUGACCCUGAAAAGGAUGAGGAUGACAUGGAAGAGACUGAAGAAGAAGCCAAAGGAGAAACGGAUGGGAAAAACCCAAAGCCCUGUUCUGAAGCAGCAUCAUCCCAGAAAGAGAAUCAGGGAGUCAUGAGCAAGAAGCAGAGGAGCCAUGUUGUGGUCAUCACCAGGGAGGUUCCAUGUCUUACUGUGGCUGAUUUUGUGCGAGACUCUCUGGCCCAGCAUGGGAAAAGCCCUGAUUUGUAUGAGAGGCAGGUAUGUCUGCUGCUCUUACAGCUAUGCUCUGGUCUUGAGCACCUCAAACCCUACCAUGUCACUCACUGCGAUCUACGCCUAGAGAACCUGCUACUUGUCCACUACCAGCCUGGGGGGACUGCCCAAGGCUUUGGGCCUGCAGAGCCCAGCCCCACCUCAUCUUAUCCCACUAGGCUUAUAGUGAGCAACUUCUCUCAGGCCAAGCAGAAGAGCCAUCUGGUGGACCCUGAGAUCCUCCGGGACCAGUCUCGCCUUGCUCCAGAGAUCAUAACAGCUACCCAGUAUAAAAAGUGUGAUGAGUUCCAGACAGGCAUCCUCAUCUAUGAGAUGCUGCACCUACCCAACCCCUUUGAUGAGAACCCAGAGCUGAAGGAGAGGGAAUACACACGAGCAGACCUGCCUCGCAUCCCAUUCCGCUCCCCCUACUCCCGGGGUCUGCAGCAGCUGGCCAGCUGCCUCCUGAAUCCCAACCCUUCUGAGCGGAUCCUCAUUUCAGACGCCAAAGGCAUCCUCCAGUGUCUGCUCUGGGGCCCCCGCGAAGAUCUCUUCCAGACUUUCACCGCCUGCCCUAGCCUAGUACAGAGGAAUACCCUGCUCCAAAACUGGCUAGACAUCAAGCGAACACUGCUCAUGAUCAAGUUUGCUGAGAAGUCCCUGGACAGGGAAGGUGGGAUCAACCUUGAGGACUGGCUUUGUGCUCAGUAUUUGGCUUUUGCCACUACAGACUCCCUCAGUUGUAUUGUGAAAAUUCUGCAGCACCGUUAACGUGUACCUGGAUGAUACUUUUACCACAUCUUCACCUUCUUCAUAUCACCCAUGCACUUCCCCUUCCUAGUGCUCACUCCAAAUUCAAGGAAAGAAGAAAGACAAACCUCUAUCCCUGUCCAUGAACAAGUGGGUCCAUUCAGAAAGGUUAUCCACUGCCCCAGAUUGAAUGAGAAGCUGAGUCUGUCUUAACUUUACAGAAAUUCAGCUGCACAAACUUGCGUUUGCCUUCCCUUGAAACACCUUCUAUCCUAAUAGUCCCAUAAAUGCAGGUAAAAAUGAAAAUCCAUAUUCUUGAAGGGACAGCUUCUUUGGUAUGAACUCAGUGAGCCAGUGAGCUGUGUCCGUUUCCUCCAUAAUUCUGGAUAUCACCUAUCUUUUUAGCACCAAGUAUUUAUUCUCACUAGCAGUAGACAGACUUAACCAGUCUCUACCAUGACCCAGUAGACUCUGACAACAGACUCUUCCUUUAAGGUGUCAACAACUGACUUACUAGGCAAAACUGCCAUCCUUAGCAUCAGCCCAGUUUUGGUUACCAGGGACUACAUCCUUUGUUCCAGGAGGCAGUAGAAAGAAAAGGAGAGAUCCCAUCCUUGGGUCAUAGACCCAUUUUCAUUGCCAUUAUCUGUAAGUAUGUGCACUGCAUGGAGGACAGCCCUAAUAGUCUCCCCUCUGCUGCCACUGCCUGAUUCUCCACUCUGUCCCCACUUGCCAGUGAAGUUUGGAUUUAUCAGCCACUUGUGGCCCAUUACAGAGCUGACCCAAGGUGGUGUCACCAAUGCCUCAGCAGGGUGGAGUGCAGUUCAGAGCUUAUAAAUAGCUGGCAGGGCACGAGGAGAUGAUUUUCUUGCAUGUGCAAUUCUCUAGGGGCCAUCAGGGAACAGAGUUUAAAGUACCCUUUGAUUACUGUCAGAACUGUCAGCAUUUGCAGUUUUCCCCGAGCAGUAAUUGGCCAGCUCCCUUCUAUCAGUAGCCAGUGUUAACUAGUUUACCAAAUGCUGUAAACAAUUGCCCUGAAUGAAAUAGCUGUCAGUGGAGCUCUAAGAUCUCCUUUAGAGGGCACAGUGAGGUGGGCUGUUGGGAUGGCCGUAGGCAGGGGAGAGGAAGAAGGCCACUGAUGAGACUGCUGACCUCCUCAGAAUGUUGACCUCUUCUAGAGAGACUGCCUCCCAGUGUAAGUGGCUCAUUGCUCCUUCUGACUCUCUCUAAAAUGGCUCUGGAGGACAGCUCACAGGAAUUCUGAUUGCUGAGGUGGGUGAUUGAGAGCUGUUCACCAUGUGUGCAGCCUGUGCUCCCCUCCUAUGGAUGUAUGUGCAAUUUUUGUAUGUAUUUUUUUAGCUGUAUAUUACAGUGUUUAUGUUGCAACUUCACCUGAAGCGAGUCUACAGAAACCUUCCCCCUUCUUCCCUUGGCACAUAUUUGCGCUAAGAGAUGAGCGUUCCUUCCACUGGGGGGGGGGUGUGUGUGUGUGUGUGUGUGUGUAUACACGUGUGCACCUGUGCUUGUUUUAUUCAAAACUGUGAGUAUGUGUUUACUUUAACCUUGAAAUCCCAAGAGUCACUCGAACAAUGUGUGUGUACACUUGUGUGCCCAUGUGUGCGUGCACACGCAUGCUGGAAGUAGAGGCCAGGCCUCUAGAGAAGCAACCUGUGGCAGGGUUGACAGACAUGUUCUCUGUGCCUAGUGAGUGAGUGAGGAGCCUUGAGGCCCCUCAUCUACCAGUACAGAGUUUCCUUAAAGCCAAGACUGAUUGUGCAGUAUUACUUACAUAGCACAUUAGUGGCCUUGGAAAUUUCUAAACUUUUAACAUUUUUAACAGCCUUUCAUGUGAUUCAUGUAUAUCAAAGAGGAUCAGGAAAGGAAAAUAAUGUAUUUUAUUGUGCUCUUAUUACUUUUUUAAGUGAUUGCAAUAUGUGAGGCUCUAUUUGGAGAAUGUCCUUACCCCCUGGCCAGCAAUAUAGGACUCACAGGAAAGAAGGCUGGUUAGCCCACAAAGAGUCUUGCCUCCUCUAGCCAGAGUGUAGGGCUCUCCUCCUAGGAAUGGCCAUGGAGUGGGCAUGCUGCUGCAGGCCAGCAGUCCGCUCUUGGUGUCCUGUGGCAUGGCCGCACCUUGCCUUGAAGGUUGGUGUUUGGUUCAUCUUAGCAUAGACCAUGUGCACAUAACUCCUUGCCUGAUUAUGCACUGAAGUGGCAGCACACAGACCACUGACCAUGUCAGCCAGCACAUUCCCUUAACCUCCCCCACCUCCCAUCUUGCAAUGGCUUGCAUAUUGAGAUAUACCUUCUCAAUGUCAUGUUCUUGGUGCCUUGCCCAUGUACAUUUGAAUGUUGACUAUUUAAUGAGGUUACAUAUUUAAUGCAGAAUGUUUCCUGGUCCCUCUAUUUGUUAUGUCUCUACUUAUCUUUUUUUUUCUUUCUCUUUUUCUGUUAUGAUUUGGAUCCAGUCUUCACUUUAACUCUAUGGUAUAAUAAGCAUGGACACCUCCACUACCAUUAUCUUACAGCACUGGUAAACUGAGCACCUCUUCACAUCAGAUGUUUUUAGUACUGUUUUUAUAUUCAGAUUUGUUAAGGGCAAAAGAUGAAUGCAAACUAGCCAGAGAAAAGCCUCAGGCUUCCCAGAGACAGGUGGCUAGAUUAAUUUUUCUCUGGGUGAUGGCCAAAGAAUGUGAGAUAGGGAAGGGGGUGUUACAGGUUAGAACAGAAUAGAGAAAGAAACUAUAUUUCUAGGCAAAAAAUACUACAUGAGUUGGUCUUCAGAAUAUUUUUCCAAAAAAAAUGAAAUUCAGUCAAUUUAACAUUAUCACAAAUAUUUUUCAUUUUAAUUGUGGUAGGAACUUUGAAUUUGUUCAUCAACUGGAAAGAAAUCCUACCCUCUGUAGACACGUACACACACAUUUUAUAUAUAUAUAUGUUUGAAUUUUGACUAGUAUAGCACUUUACGUUUUCUCAAGUAACAGGAAGUUAUUGCCUUCAAUAUUGAUUGGAAAUUGUUUUCUAUUGAAGUCUAUACUACAGAGUUUUCCAUUUAUAUUGAGAGUUUGAACAAUUAAGCUCCUAUUGGAACUUUUCCUUAAGCCACAUGAGCAUGAACAAUCUCUGUGACACUUGGGUGCUAGAGAAACACAACAGUGGCUAAAGUAGCCAAGAGCAAGACUGAAUGUAUAGCAGAGUGCCUUGUUAGAGUGAUAACUUAGUCUUGGAAGCAAUUCAGUGGAUGUUUCAUAAAGAGGACUAGAACUUCAAGAAGCCUCCUGUGCUGGCUGAGGUGAGCCCUUUUGGUAUAUGUACACUACUGGGUUGCCUAGAAGCCAAUUCAUGAAAAAUAACAGCAGGAUGAGAAAAAGAGUCACUGUAACCUGUGGAACAACAACAUAAGAAUCACCAACCCCUAGGCUGAGCUAGAACUGGAAGCCAGGAAUACGGCAAUGAGUUUCAAGAUUUGCCCUCAGAAGCUGAACUGGGUGAGGUAUGGGUUGGGGUGAGGGCACAAGCACUCAUCCUACCUACCCUGCUGCUGUUGAGGAGCUAGAAGUAAAACAUUGGUUAGGAUUUUAACAGUUGGAGUAGCCUCCCAUUAUCAGAUUAAGUGGGGGUCAGUUUUGCUUCUAAACUCAGAAUAAGUUUGUAAACAUGGGAAAGUCUAAGCCAAGAGAUCUAAAGCUCUAGAAAUAUUAAUGACAUUUCUGGGAGUAAAACUACCAAAAAUUAUAUCUUAAAAGUUUCUAGUAGUAUAAAGUUCCCAGGCCGGGCGCGGUGGCUCACGCCUGUAAUCCCAACACUUUAGGAGGGUGAGGUGAGCAGAUCACCUGAGGUCAGGAGUUUGAGACCAGCCUGGCCAACAUGGUGAAACCCCAUCCCUACUAAAAAUACAAAAAUUAGCCAGGCAUGGUGGCAGGCACCUGUAAUCUCAGCUACUUGGGAGGCUGAGGCUGAGGCAAGAGAAUCGCUUGAGCCCAGGAGGCAGAGGUUGCAGUGAGCCAGGAUCACGCCAUCGCACUCCAGCCUGGGAGAUAAGAGUGAGACUUCGUCUCAAAAAAAAGUUUCCAGGAAAGAUCUUUGGGUCCUACUAAGCGUCUCAAUUUUGAGUUAUGAAUACUUUGGUUCUGGGAAGUAACCUGACAUUUGGUUUUGCUGGAAUUAGGGUUUUCACUAGAUUUCACUGCAAUUAGGAUUUUCUUCUAGAUUUUACCAGCAGUGAUCUGAAAAAGUACAGGCUAGUCCCAGAAAUAGAGAUGGAUUUAGGAUACUACACUAUAUUUCAAAUGAUUCUAGAUGUGUAAAUAUAGUAUGAACAUUCUUGGAGAGGGGUGAGACAAACUGGACUUGCUGGGCCAACCCUGGCAUGUUUUUCAACCCUGGCAUGUAGUUGAUAAGGAUUGAAAAUUCUGCUCCAGCCUAAUGAGUGAACAGGAUGGCUGCCCACAAAACCAGGUUAUUAGUUUUACCUCAUUGAAGCUCAUAUUUUCAAAGGCCCAAAGUGCUGUGCCGAGACAAAUCCAAGUGCUGCUCUUGCCGAAGUGCGCACUGAAGUCCAGCUGUCCGUGCUUACAGCAGUGCCAAAAGUGGGGAUUCCAUGGACCAAAAACGGUGCCGUAAGGGAAGCCAGAAGAGUUGCGGUGCAAGAUCCUGGGAGAGAUUAUACCAAAGAAAUCAAGCCUUUUUAUCCUGAUGCUUCUAAGAUGAUGAGGUUCAUCUGCAUCUCGUUACUGGGCCGCAAGAAUAAGCAGCCUGACCCCCAGUUUGGUCCAGGAACACCCGGAGCCCUGAAAGGAUACAGGCCAGUGGAUGGUGGGACCAGUUCAGGAUUGCCCAAGCCAGACUCCAGGUGAGGUGGAACAAGGCCAGAAAAAACACUGAGUUUCUAUUCUUCAGUGGGAUCACUUUGUCCUUUGGUGUAACUGGAGAGCCUGGAGAUAAAUUAUCCUAUUCCCCUUCCCCAUCACAUCACCCAGCGUGGGAUUCAUUCCUGAGAAUUCCGUUAGUGGUCCUCAGUGACACCAUCCUGUCUGACUCUGGGUUGUCCAGAGGCGAUGGGCCACUGACAUUUGGAUGAGGCCUUUGGCAGCUCCAUGCCUGCAGAGUGUUGUCUUUCAACCUAAGCCACAGAGAAUCUUGAUUUCUUUCCUGCCCGGAGUGAAUUGGUGUGGGGAGCUCUCCGUUGCCUGGGGUUGUAAGUGUGUACCUUCUGCUCCAGGAACUCUUUGCCUCCUCUCCAAGGCCUAGCAAAUUAUGCUUCCUUUUAAGUGAGUUUGCACUCUCUUCUACAAGGGAAGGAACUUCAUUAGUGCCAUAGGAGCCAAGAACUGCAGUUGGCAGAUCACAAGUUGUUGUUAAGAGCAGCUCAAGGCAAUUACAGCUGAAACUUAAAAAUUGGAUUUCACACUGGGUGGGGGGGUAGGAGGGAAUUUGUUGCCAAGAUCCAGUUCUCUCAAAUUUGCAAACCUCUAAAAGGAAAUAGGCUUUUUGGACACAAACUGACUUCCUUGAGAUCCCAGAUAAACCUCUGUACAGGUAUGUGCACGGACACACACACACACACACACACACACACACACACACCAACUAAUGGCUCCCUUGCCCUCUGGGAGGUGCAUGGAAGCAACCAGAAAGCUGAGUGAUAAUGCUGUGAGGGCUUCUGAGGAAUCUGCAAUUAUAAGGACCAGGGUCCUCUAGAGAAGUAACUCUCAUGCAGGAAGUGGGAGGGGUAUAGGGACUUGGGUUUUCCCCACCAGGACCACCCAUUGCUCACCAGCUCACACUUGAGCUGGAGUCAAAGAUAGAGCAAAAAACUCCAAGCCUAUGGUUCAUCUUUGCCCUGGGAUGGGGGAUGGGAGGCAAAUUGUACCUCAGGUAAAGAGAAUGUGGAGGGAUAAAGUCACCAGGCCCCCCAGGGAGGGGCAAAGUUGAAUGCCUUGAAGAGCUGAGAUGCUUGUCUUCCAGGGUAAAGGAGUCUGUCUCUAGAAAGCCAGCCCUGGGGGUGCUUUCCCAUGAACUAGCUUAACAGCUUAAUUUUAUCUUCACAAUCUGGUGAGGUGGUUUCUAGAAUUAUCCCCAUUUUACUCAUGUGAAAACAAGCCAGAGAGCGUUUGUUUGCCCCAGAUCCUUAGUAAGGGAACUACGAUUUGUCCUCCAGCAGCCGUACUCCACCUCCCAGCUUCCUGGAGUGAGGGACAGUCCUCCCUCACUCUCUAGCUGUCACCCCAGUAUCAUCAGUGGCUUCUUGGUGUCCAGAGAAGAAAAAUCCAAUUGCUGAGUCUGUGUCCUCCACCUCUCAUGCUUAUUGCUGACUAAGUGUUGCAGCAGCCCCACUCUCCAGGCUGGCCUGGGAGACAUGCAUUGAAAUUCUCUGCGCCCGCAUCGUUCCUGUUCUUUUUCUCCCUGUUCUUCAGGGCCCCAUUCAGCCAAGAAGCUUUUGGGAUGAUAUCCAUCUGAAAUCACCAACUGACUCCCCAGCUUCAGCUCCUGGCCUGGUGUGUGUGUGUGUGUCUGUGUGUGCACCUCCCUUCUCGUGAGCUCCUCCAGGGAGGCCAUGGCUUUAGCUGCUCUGCCUGCUGUCCUUGGUGUCUGACUCAACUAACAGGAAGAGAGGAGGAAGAGAACCGCCCCUGGCUGCUCCACUGGUCCAGGCCCUGGUCCAGGCUUUCCCACACAUUAACCUCAUUUGAUCUCCACUACAGCCAUUUUACAGAUGAGGAAACUCAGAGUGGGUAAGAAACUUGCCUAAAGCUGCAUAGCUGGUAAGUGGUAGAGCUGAGAUUCAAACCUAGGCUUGAAGCCAGUUCUCCCCACCACCAUACGAGUCUUUGUCUAUUGGCUUGUUUUUGUGCCAGCGGAUAGGCCCAGGCCUAUGGGUGUUUGCUCCAACUGUGACAGACUGGGGUAGUCAAGGAGUGCUUCCUGAUGUGGGCAGAGAGUGUGAGUGAGAAGAAAGAGCUGGCUAGGCUGAGCAGUCAGAUCUGUAGCUUCCCUGUAGGGCCAGCACCUUUCCCUGUCAGACCUUCACUGAGCUCCUAUGGGAUCGCCAGGCCAACACAAGGCAUUGGCACUGGCCAUCUUUGAGACGUUUCCUCUCAAGGUCCCUGAGCAGACUUGCCUGUUUGCUCUUCAUCCUCCCUACAGAGGGGCCUCCCAGGACUGCUUCUGGAACCACAAAGGCAACUAAGUGGCCAACAGCUGCCACAGAGCAACUGACAACCUUCUUUUCCUUUUUGUCUUUUUCUUUCUUUUUGGCUAAUAAUCUGCUUUCCAUUCACCUACCCCCUCCACUCCCACCCUGUCAUGGUAAUCAGGGUUGUAAAGUCCUCAACCCCUAAGAGCUCCAUGCUUGAGCAAAUAUAUACAAGACAUACGCAUAUAGCUGUAGAGUUCCACUCUCUUACAGAAAUUAGAUCUUACUGUGUACAAUACUCUGCAAAUUGCUUUUCUUACUUAACAAUAUAUCAUUGGCCAGGCGUGGUGGCUCACGCAUAUAAUCCCAGCACUUUGGGAGGAUCGCUUGAGCUCAGAAGUUAGACCAGCCUGGGCAACAUGUUGAAACUCCAUCUCUACAAAAAAAUACAAAAAUUAGCCAGGUGUGAUAGCAUACUACUGUGGUCCCAGCUAUUCAGGAGGCUGAGGAGGGAGGAUCACUUGAGCCUAGGAGGUCGAGGCUGCAGUGAGCCAUGAACUGCACUCCAGCCUGGGGAACAAAGUGAGAUCCUGUCUCAAAACAAAAACAAAAACAAAAACAAAAAAAUCAUGGACACAGUAUUUCUUAAAAGGUAGCUUCUCGCACUAAAAAUAAUAGCAUUACAUAACAUACAUAUAUACAAAUUUUAUUAUUAUUAUUUCCACUUCUUCAGGCAUUCAGUCACAUAGGGAUGACUAAACAACAAAAUAUGAGAAACUACUAAGAAGUAUAAAAGGAGAUGCACAGAUACAGAGAUGAACUAUCAGGUUGUCUCAAAUUUUAGUGAAAUUUGAAUUUUAAAUCUCAAUGAGUUUUUUUUUCUGGAGUGAGAAACUUUACAAAAUGGUUUUCAGAGUCACUUGGAGGAAUGAAUAUAUGAAAGAAACCCAGAAAUUUUUGAAAUUGAGGGCAUAAUUGAGCAUAUGAAAAAGCUAUGAUCAAUAAAACAGUGUGAUACAGGUACAAGAAAAAACAGAUCAAUGUAAUAGAAUAGGUAACCUAAAAAUAGUAUCAGUAUGAAACUAGUAUAUGUAAUAUAGGAUAAGUAAGACAUCACUAUAUGAGAAGGGAAGGAAGUUUAUCCAAUAAACUGUGCUGGUACAAUUGGUUAGCUAUUUGAAAAAUGUUAAUCUGCAUACUAUAAGCUAAUACAAAUCCAAACAGAUCAAACAGAGUUACAUGCCACAAAGGAAAGAAAAGAAAAAUCUCAAGAACUAGAAAGAAUGCCAAGUCAAUGCAUGUUUUAUCUCUUGUUGAGAAAGGACUUUGUAAGCUAAGAGACAGUGGAAGGCGUCUGAAAGGGAAAGAUCAAUAGGUUUGACUAAAGGUGAUAAACCUUUGUCCACGGAAAACAGCAAAAACAAAAUCGAAAAGUAAAUAACCCAGAAAAAAGAUUUCAACACAUAUAACAUAGGGUUAAAAUUCUGAGUUAUAAAGAGCUGAUACAAAUCAUUAGGAACAUAAAACACUAAUAGGUGAGAACAGAGAAGUCACAGAAGAACCCAAAUGUUUAACCUUUCUAGAAACAAGGGAAAUAACCAAAGGUGGCAUAUCUAAAAAAAAUUUUAACAGCUUUUUCUGAUUGAUUAUAAAAAUAAUGCCUGUUUACAGUAGAACAUGUGGAAGGUAAAAUUGACCCACUAGGUCACCAUCUAGAAAUGACCACCAUUAACAUUUACUGUAUAUCCUGCAACUCCUGUUUACUCUGCCUUUUUCUUUUUAAAUUAAGAUCAUAUUGUUGGCAUCUCAUUUUCCACCUAUCAAAUUAACAAAGCUUUUUUUUAAAGCUUAUACUCCCUGCUGGUGACAGGGUAUACAGUUCAGUCAAUGUUGGUGCGAUUGAAUUGGAUGGAAAGGGGCUUGAUUCAUCCUGUCCUGGGGUGUUGGGCAAGGACCGACUCCAGUAGUCAGCAUGGUGGUGGGUAAUAGAGAUUUCACAUCUCCAAGGUCAAAGUGACAGAGUCACCAGGGAGCUUUUCGAAAGGAAAGACCACCCAAGUCCAGUGACUCCAAGACCCCCUCCUCCCCAGGGUCCUUCAGCUGUUCUGAGCUUGUAAGGGGCCUCUCUGCCUGAAUCUGGAUUUAGCUCCAGGUUCCACCUCUGACAAACUGUGUCCUCAGCCACUCUCUCAGCCUUGGUUUUGAUGGGGAUUCCUACCUCACAGGGUCAUUGUCAGGAUGAAAGGACACAGUCUAGCAAGUGUGUUUAGUCCACUGCCAGGCAAUAGUAAGUGCUCAAAUAUUGUUGAUCAAAAAGGCAAACUCUGAGUGGGUAUUUACUUUCUGUUUUUGUAACCAAGGACUCAUCAGGGGAUUUUUGCUGAACAAAGGUACUGUGAAUUCAAAUCUCAGCCUCAUAAGAAUCAGAAAACUGCUUGCAGCUUUUGAGUGGCAAUUUCUCCAGCUUUCCAAAUAUCUCCUGGCUGAAUUUCAGAAAGCCCGGUUGACAGUCGUUUCUCUGAACACCUCCUACCUGCCCAUGGUGACAUAGCACAUCAGAGGCAGAAAUGGGUUCAUGCCUCUGAAUCCAAGCCUGCCUUCCUCCCUACACAACCUGGACCCUUUAUUGGUGGAGAGUCAGGCACAGUGGUAAACUGACAAGGCACAGGGCUGCGAUGGGAAGUGGGGGGGUGAGGAUGAAAGCAGCUGUCGAGGGCCCCUCUAGCUCUGGGCCUGUGUGCUCUUUAGAGGGUGUCUGUGUCCCGAAGCACCCCCUCCAUCCCUCAGCAAGGGGCUGGCCCAGGCCCUCACCCUUCUUCAGAGCCCGCUGCCCACAUCAGAGCCCUCAUUUCGGCUCCCCUCAUGACACUGCCUUGCAUAAUAAAUGCUUCAGUUGAAUGUACUUUAUUUUGGGGAAAGUCAUUAAACUCCUUUUGUGGAAACAUUUUAAUUGAAUUAGAUUGUUUUCUGAUUGUAAUAAAUGUUAAUUAAUUGA
RNA transcript from Pongo pygmaeus (Bornean orangutan), 16034 nucleotides. It is a transcript of the gene named pseudopodium enriched atypical kinase 1, with no coding region annotated. The transcript has 10 exons. Lineage: Eukaryota; Metazoa; Chordata; Mammalia; Primates; Hominidae. The record is from RefSeq and is a predicted model, not a curated record.